AUGGUUCUGCUAUCACUCUUGGGAUGGACCUGCGGUGCAUUAGCUAGUUGGUAGGGUAACGGGCGUACCAAGGCGAUGAUGCAUAGCCCGAGUUGAGAGACUGAUCGGGCCACAUUGGGGACUGAGACACGGGCCCAAACUCCUACGGGAGGCAGCAGUAGGGAAUCCUCCACAAUGGACGCAAGUCUGAUGGAGCAAACGCCGCGUGAGUGAAGAAGGGUUUCGGCUCGUAAAAAGCUCUGUUGUUGGUGAAGAAGGACAGGGGUAGUAACUGACCCUUUGUUUGACGGUAAUCAAUUAGAAAGUCACGGGCUAACUACGUGCCAGCAGCCGCGGUAAAU
RNAcentral lists this ribosomal RNA (341 nucleotides) under uncultured Lactobacillus sp. RNAcentral's name for it is "bacterial SSU rRNA". It matches the Rfam family "Bacterial small subunit ribosomal RNA", at positions 202 to 525 of the family's 1533-position model. The record is from RNAcentral. Lineage: Bacteria; Bacillati; Bacillota; Bacilli; Lactobacillales; Lactobacillaceae.